This 4701-nucleotide long non-coding RNA is filed under the name Gossypium barbadense (sea-island cotton). RNAcentral's name for it is "long non-coding RNA (GBAR_LNC016389)". The record is from RNAcentral. Lineage: Eukaryota; Viridiplantae; Streptophyta; Magnoliopsida; Malvales; Malvaceae.
UUUUGUUUAUUUUGUUUAUUUUUAAUAUUUGUAAUGAUAGCUAUAAUUGAAACAAGUUGAUAUGCAACUUGGUUUCAUAAUAAUAGCUAAUAUGCUUUCAUAAUGAUAGCUAUAAUGCUUUCAUCUUUUUAAUUAUUAAUUGGCAAGUUGCCAAAUUUAGUGGAAAUUGUUAGGUAAACAUUCCACUUUUGUAACUCUAUAUUUUGAAAUGAAAUGAAAAUGGUAUAAUUAUUCGGUUUCAAUCAAACAUAUUUUUUUCCUUUUGCUUGUUAACCGAGAGCUUAUGCUCUUGAUGCUUUGUGUUUUUCUACUUGCUGUUUGAAGAGCUUAUGCUCUUAGUGUUUCAUUGUUUGGUUGUUGCUGCCAUUUUAUCUAACAAAUGGUAAUCAGAGCAUCCUAUCUUUGAGGACCUUUGUGGUUUUGUUUUAGUUUUCAAAACAAAGUCAGUUUUGCUUCUGUAAAAUCAGUUUCAGCAACAUGAGCUUUGCACCUCCUCCACCACCAAUUUUUGCUGGAGAAAACUACCACAUUUGGAUAGUUAAAAUGAAAACUUACCUCCAAGCACUUGAUCUGUGGAGUGCAGUUGAAAAUGAUGUCGAGCCACUACCAUUGAGAGCAAAUCCAACCAUUGCUCAGAUCAAGCAACAUGGUGAGGAGCGAGCCAAGAAGCAUAAAGCCAUGGCCUGCCUAUAGAAUGGAGUGUCUGAUGUAAUUUUUACUCGCAUCAUGGCCUGUGACUCACCCAAACAAGCUUGGGACAAGCUGAAAGAGGAGUUCAUGGGAUCAGACAAGACAAGGCAACAACAAGUAAUUAAUCUUAGAAGGGAGUUUGAAAAUUUGAAGAUGAAAGAGUCAGAACCUAUCAAGCAAUAUUCUGAUAGGAUUAUGGCUACUGUCAAUAAUAUUAGACUCCUUGGAGAAGAUUUCAGUGACAGCAGGGUUGUUGAGAAGGUUAUUACCACCUUACCUGAAAGGUUUGAGUCAAAAAUCUCCUCAUUGGAGGACUCGAGAGAUCUCACAACCAUUUCUUUGUCUGAGUUGGUUAACUCACUUUAUGCACUUGAGCAGAGAAGAGCAAGUAGGCAGGAGGAAAGUCCUGAAGGUGCUUUUCAAGCAAAGGUCAGAGAAGGCUCCAGCUCAAGUCAGAAAGCUAAGAAGCCUUGGUUUGAAAAGAGGGAAAGAUCAAAGAAAGAUGUCGGUAGAAGGAGGUUUCCACCAUGCGUUCACUGCAAGAAGACUAACCAUUUGGAGAAGUAUUGCUGGAACAAACUAGACAUCCAAUGCAAGAGCUGCAAGCAGUAUGGUCAUCAUGAAAAGAUUUGUAGAAAUCAAGAAAAGUCACAAACUCUGCCAGUACAAGCCAAGACUGCUGAAGAUCUUCAAGCUCAGGAGGAGCAUGUCUUCACUGCCUCAUGUUCUACAACCACAAGCAAAUCCAAAUGCAGUUGGCUUGUGGAUAGUGGCUGCUCACAUCACAUGGCAUCAAAUGAGAGCCUGUUCAAGGAUCUUGACAGGAGUUUUGCUUCAAAGGUCAGAAUAGGCAAUGGGAAUCUGAUUGAAGCUAAAGGCAGAGGUGAUGUUGUGAUCAACACUAGUUAAGGUAACAAGGUUAUUUUAGAUGUGCUUUAUGUACCUGAAAUAGAUCAAAAUCUACUUAGUGUAGGUCAGCUGGUUAAGAAAGGCUACUCUCUAGUUUUCAAGAAUGAUUCUUGUGUUAUUAAUGAUAUUCUUGGUAGAGAAGUUGUUUCAGCACCCAUGGCAGAUAGGUGUUUUAUGUUGGAUGUGAGCCAACUUGAGAGAAGAGCCUAUACAAGUUCAGUUGACAAUGCUGAUCUGUGGCAUAGAAGAUUUGGCCAUGUCAAUUUCAGGUCACUCAAUUUGCUGCACAAGAUGAGUUUGACAGAUGCAUGAUUAAGGUUGAUGCAAAUGAGUCUGUUUGUGAAGUAUGUCAGCUUGGUAAACAGGCCAGGUUGCCUUUUCCAGUAAACCAAGCAUGAAGGGCUCGAGAAAGACUUGAAUUGGUGCACUCAGAUGUCUGUGGACCAAUGAAGACUCCUUCACUGAAUGGCAGUAAGUAUUUUAUACUGUUUAUUGAUGAUCUGACCAGAUUUUGCUGGGUUUAUUUCAUGAAACAAAAGUCAGAAGUGUUUAAAGUUUUUGGAAAGUUCAAGGCAUUGGCAGAAAAUCAAAUAGGCUGCAGGAUUAAGGCCUUGAGGACAGACAAUGGUUCUGAAUACUUGUCUGAAAGAUUUCAGAAGCUAUGUGAGCAGGCUGGGAUUCAUCAUCAAUUGACCACAGUGUAUACUCCUCAGCAAAAUGGAGUAUGUGAAAGGAAGAACAGAACAGUGAUGAACAUGACCAGGUGUUUGUUGUUUCAAAGCAAGCUUCCAAACAUGUUUUGGGCUGAAGGUGUCAACACCUCAGUGUACCUGCUCAAUAGGCUGCCAACACAUGCUUUAAAUGAUAAAACUCCUUUUGAAGCAUGGUAUGAUCUUAAACCAACAGUUUCCCAUUUAAAAGUGUUUGGUUGCAUGUGUUUUGUACUUGUCCCUGCAGAAAGAAGAACCAAGCUUGAGAAGAGAUCAGUUCCUGGUAUAUUUGUUGGCUACAGUAGCUGCAAGAAGGGCUACAGAGUAUUUGAUCCUUCAACCAAGAAGAUUUUGGUAAGCAGGGAUGUCAAAUUCGAUGAAGGAAGGUUUUGGAGUCUAGAUGGCUCUAACACAAGUCAGUUUGAAGAAGAGCAGAUUGACAACAAUCUGGAAUUGGCAGAAAAUGAAGUCAGUAAUGCCAAUGUAGAUGAUACUCCUGUGAGAGGGACCAGGUCUAUUGCUGAUAUCUACCAAAGAUGCAAUGUGGCCAUUGUUGAGCCUUCAAGCUAUGAAGAAGCUGCAAGAAGCAAGAGCUGGAAGAAGGCUAUGGAGGCUGAAAUCGACAUGAUCCAUAAGAAUGACACUUGGGAUCUAGUAGACAGACCUGAUCAGAAGAAGGUCAUAGGUGUCAAAUGGGUUUUCAGGACCAAAUUCAAUGCUGAUGGCUCUUUGAACAAGCACAAGGCAAGGCUUGUGGUGAAAGGGUACAAUCAACAGUUUGGCAUUGAUUUUGAGGAGACAUUUGCUCCAGUAGCAAGGCUGGACACCAUAAAGCUCCUGUUUGCUUUGGCUGCACAGAAACAGUGGAAGGUCCAUCAGCUUGAUGUCAAGUUAGCUUUCCUGAAUGGCUUCCUUAAAGAGGAGAUUUAUGUUGAACAGCCUGAUGGAUUUAAAGUCCAAGGAAAGGAGGACAAGGUUUACAAGCUGAAGAAGGCACUCUAUGGACUAAAACAGGCUCCUCGAGCCUGGUAUGACAGGAUAGAUGCUUACCUGUCUAAGCUCAAUUUCGAGAAAAGUUUGAGUGAGCCAACUUUGUUUAUAAAGAAGUCCAAAGAUGAGACUUUGCUGAUUGUCUCAAUAUAUGUAGAUGAUCUAUUAGUGACUGGAAGCAGGGUCGAUUUGAUUCAGGAGUUCAAGAAGAAUAUGCAAGACAUGUUUGACAUGACAGACUUGGGAAUCAUGACUUACUUCCUUGGUAUGGAAGUAGACCAGUCUGAUCAAGGCAUUUUUAUCAGCCAGCAUGCAUUUGCCUUGAAAAUUCUCACUAAGUUUCAUAUGGAAAACAGCAAACCAGUGAGCACACCAUUAGCUGUGGGAGAGAAACUAAGCAGCUUUGGAAAUGAAGAAAAGGUAGAUGAAAAGGAGUAUAGAAGCCUGAUUGGAUGUUUACUUUACUUGACAGCAACCAGACCUGACCUUAUGCAUUCAGUUAGUCUACUGUCUAGAUUCAUGCACAGCUGCAAUACAACUCAUUUGAAAGCAGCAAAGAGAAUACUCAGGUAUGUCAAAGGUACUUUGAAGUUUGGUGUAAUGUUCAAGAAAGGAAGUGAGCUGAAAUUAACUGGCUACUCAGAUAGUGACUGGGGUGGAUCAGUUGAUGAUAUGAGAAGUACUUCAGGCUACUUCUUUACACUUGGUUCGGGAGUUUUCAGUUGGAGUUCAAAGAAGCAACAAACUGUUGCUCAGUCUACUGCUGAAGCCGAAUACAUAGCAGCAGCUGCAGCAGUGAAUCAAGCCAUUUGGCUUAGGAAGUUGCUAUGUGAUUUGAAUGAAGAACAGCUCGAGCCUACUGAAAUUUUGGUGGAUAACCAGUCAGCAGUUGCCAUCUCUAAAAAUCCUGUUUUUCAUGGCAAAACCAAACAUUUUAAGCUCAAGUUUUACUUUGUUCGAGAAGUUGUCCAAUCCAAAGAAGUGAGUCUAAUACAUUGCAGCUCACAAGAUCAAUUGGCUGACAUUUUGACAAAGCCUCUUGGCACAAUCAGGUUUGAAUUUCUAAGGAAAUCAAUUGGUGUUUGUUGCCUACAGUCCAAAGAGGAGUGUUGAACAUGGACUGUAAAGCAACAAAGGAGCAACUUGGUGCAUUUUGUUUAUUUUGUUUAUUUUGUUUAUUUUUAAUAUUUGUAAUGAUAGCUAUAAUUGAAACAAGUUGAUAUGCAACUUGGUUUCAUAAUAAUAGCUAAUAUGCUUUCAUAAUGAUAGCUAUAAUGCUUUCAUCUUUUUAAUUAUUAAUUGGCAAGUUGCCAAAUUUAGUGGAAAUUGUUAGGUAAACAUUCCACUUUUGUAACUCUAUAUUUUGAAAUGAAAUGAAAAUGGUAUAAUUAUUCGGUUUCAA